GACGAACGCUGGCGGCGUGCUUAACACAUGCAGGUCGAACGGAAAGGCCCUGCUUUUGUGGGGUGCUCGAGUGGCGAACGGGUGAGUAACACGUGAGUAACCUGCCCUUGACUUUGGGAUAACUUCAGGAAACUGGGGCUAAUACCGGAUAGGAGCUCCUGCUGCAUGGUGGGGGUUGGAAAGUUUCGGCGGUUGGGGAUGGACUCGCCGCUUAUCAGCUUGUUGGUGGGGUAGUGGCUUACCAAGGCUUUGACGGGUAGCCGGCCUGAGAGGGUGACCUGCCACAUUGGGACUGCGAUACGGCCCAGACUCCUACGGGAGGCAGCAGUGGGGAAUAUUGCACAAUGGGCGGAAGCCUGAUGCAGCAACGCCGCGUGCGGGAUGACGGCCUUCGGGUUGUAAACCGCUUUCGCCUGUGACGAAGCGUGAGUGACGGUAAUGGGUAAAGAAGCACCGGCUAACUACGUG
This 468-nucleotide ribosomal RNA is filed under the name uncultured bacterium. Its description in RNAcentral is "partial 16S ribosomal RNA". It matches the Rfam family "Bacterial small subunit ribosomal RNA", at positions 28 to 507 of the family's 1533-position model. The record is from RNAcentral.